This 253-nucleotide ribosomal RNA is filed under the name uncultured bacterium. Its description in RNAcentral is "partial 16S ribosomal RNA". It matches the Rfam family "Bacterial small subunit ribosomal RNA", at positions 524 to 776 of the family's 1533-position model. The record is from RNAcentral.
UACAGAGGGUGCAAGCGUUGUUCGGAAUUAUUGGGCGUAAAGCGCGUGUAGGCGGCUUUGCAAGUCGGGUGUGAAAGCCCUCGGCUCAACUGAGGAAGUGCACCCGAAACUGGCGAGCUUGAGUACGAAAGAGGAUCGCGGAAUUCCCGGUGUAGAGGUGAAAUUCGUAGAUAUCGGAGGAACACCGGUGGCGAAGGCGGCGAUCUGGGUCGAUACUGACGCUGAGGUGCGAAAGCGAUGGGGAGCAAACAGG